This 753-nucleotide ribosomal RNA is filed under the name uncultured bacterium. Its description in RNAcentral is "bacterial SSU rRNA". It matches the Rfam family "Bacterial small subunit ribosomal RNA", at positions 34 to 836 of the family's 1533-position model. The record is from RNAcentral.
GGGUGCCGGCGGGCCUACACAUGCAAGUCGAGCGCGCCUUCGGGUGAGCGGCGGACGGGUUAGUAACGCGUGGGAACGUACCCUUCUCUACGGAAUAGCCUUUGGAAACGAAGAGUAAUACCGUAUACGCCCUUUGGGGGAAAGAUUUAUCGGAGAAGGAUCGGCCCGCGUUAGAUUAGAUAGUUGGUGGGGUAACGGCCUACCAAGUCUACGAUCUAUAGCUGGUUUUAGAGGAUGAUCAGCAACACUGGGACUGAGACACGGCCCAGACUCCUACGGGAGGCAGCAGUGGGGAAUCUUAGACAAUGGGCGCAAGCCUGAUCUAGCCAUGCCGCGUGAGUGAUGAAGGCCUUAGGGUCGUAAAGCUCUUUCGCCUGUGAUGAUAAUGACAGUAGCAGGUAAAGAAACCCCGGCUAACUCCGUGCCAGCAGCCGCGGUAAUACGGAGGGGGUUAGCGUUGUUCGGAAUUACUGGGCGUAAAGCGCACGUAGGCGGAUUGGAAAGUUGGGGGUGAAAUCCCGGGGCUCAACCCCGGAACUGCCUCCAAAACUAUCAGUCUAGAGUUCGAGAGAGGUGAGUGGAAUUCCAAGUGUAGAGGUGAAAUUCGUAGAUAUUUGGAGGAACACCAGUGGCGAAGGCGGCUCACUGGCUCGAUACUGACGCUGAGGUGCGAAAGUGUGGGGAGCAAACAGGAUUAGAUACCCUGGUAGUCCACACCGUAAACGAUGAAUGCCAGUCGUCGGGGCAGUAUAC